RNAcentral lists this ribosomal RNA (443 nucleotides) under uncultured bacterium. Its description in RNAcentral is "partial 16S ribosomal RNA". It matches the Rfam family "Bacterial small subunit ribosomal RNA", at positions 338 to 795 of the family's 1533-position model. The record is from RNAcentral.
CCUACGGGCGGCAGCAGUGGGGAAUAUUGGGCAAUGGGCGCAAGCCUGACCCAGCAACGCCGCGUGAAGGAAGAAGGCUUUCGGGUUGUAAACUUCUUUUCUGAGGGACGAAGAAAGUGACGGUACCUCAGGAAUAAGCCACGGCUAACUACGUGCCAGCAGCCGCGGUAAUACGUAGGUUGCAAGCGUUAUCCGGAUUUAUUGGGUGUAAAGGGCGUGUAGGCGGGAAAGUAAGUCAGAUGUGAAAACUCAGGGCUCAACCCUGAGCCUGCAUUUGAAACUGUUUUUCUUGAGUGCUGGAGAGGCAAGCGGAAUGCCGUGUGUAGCGGUGAAAUGCGUAGAUAGAAGGAGGAACACCAGUGGCGAAGGCGGAUUGCUGGACAGUAACUGACGCUGAGGCGCGAAAGCGUGGGGAGCAAACAGGAUUAGAUACCCGUGUAGUC